Molecule: long non-coding RNA, 1238 nt
Organism: Gasterosteus aculeatus aculeatus (three-spined stickleback)
Lineage: Eukaryota; Metazoa; Chordata; Actinopteri; Perciformes; Gasterosteidae
Source: Ensembl
AUGGCAGCGUGAAAUCAUUAACAGCGCUUUCCUGCUAUGUGGUUAUUUGGAGAAGGACGGAGGAAAAGCCAGCAAAGACAGGUCUGUUUUGGCUUAAGGGAAACAAAGUAGCCAGUAGAACAUUAGUGAUGUCUCCAUCUGUCACAAAUAUCUCAUGUUUUACUCUACCUAUUUUGCUAAAGUGGGGAUAGCUACUCCUCCCGUCUACUAGUCUGUACUGUUGAUGGUGCACUUCUGUGUUGAGCUCUCCAGGCUCCACCUGCCGUCUCUACUGCUGCUGCACAUCACUUCAGCAAACUGAUGAACUGCGGCAACCUCAGAUUAACCUCCAACCCCAUCUUUCUUUUUUUUGCAAUCCUAGACCCAUCACUGGAGGACCCCUCGGCAGUGGAAAUGUUGGCUUACCCUGCAGCCUCAACUCGUCCUUGCCUUUACGUGGGCAAAAUAUACAUUUUGAAGACUGGAGUAAUGAGGUUUGACUGUUUGAUAAUACACACACAAAUACAUUUUACCCUAGUUUGAAUAAGAAUAUAUCUUAGUAAACAGCUACUCUAAAGAUUAUGAUCAUUACCCACAUAUCCUUUGAGAAUGCAUAUCAGUGAAGAGUCGGCGUUGGCAGAAAAUGCAAUCUGUGGUUUUUGUGUUGGCAUAGAUCAUUAACCGUUUUCCCAAAGGAGAUGGAUAAAUUGCACAUUCUUAUUUCUACAUGCAUAGCGUUAAAAUGAAUGUGUUCAUUAUUCACUUCUUUGUGUAAAUUUAGACAAUACCAGAUUGUUUUUUUUUUUCCUACUAUAUAUUUGGAUCUCAUUUAAGCAUAAUGCAGCCUUAGUUCAUAAUAUAGUUUAAUCAUUAUUCAAGAAAACAUAUGUACUCUUUUAGGUCUGCUGAUGAAUAUGGAGCCCGUUGUCUAACGAGGCUUGAAAUCCAAAGUUUUCGACACUGGACCUGAGCAUCUGACUUUCUAUUAUUAGGGCAGACAUACGUUAUUUAACAAGGAACAAAUGUUGAAGUUGUUUCACGAGGCACUUCAGAAGCAUGGUGGUGAAUCCGAAUUUGGUCAUCGACUCAAGACCCUGACUUUAUCCGUAUUACAGACGCAGCAGGUAGCUCUUCCACUUCUUUAUAAUCCACAACCCGUUGGACCAGAAUGAAAUGCUGGCAUUGGUGUCAGAUAUGAAAAAAAGGAUUGAGCCAAAUGCAAACAGAACCCGCUUAACUGUUUCUAUAAAGUGUUUGAC